Molecule: non-coding RNA, 778 nt
Organism: Chelonoidis abingdonii (Abingdon island giant tortoise)
Lineage: Eukaryota; Metazoa; Chordata; Testudines; Testudinidae
Source: RefSeq, a predicted model, not a curated record
AAGAUGUAGCCUUUGAUGUGGACAUGAGACAGCUGCUGCUUAGGAAUAGAAGGCUUAGUGCUUCAGACUCAUGAGAGUGGAGGUCUCAUGAUGAGGAGCUUCUUGGAAAUGGAAGUCUGUUGGAUGAGUCGGAAUGAAGAAGAGUCACAAAUUUAAGAAGUUGGCUCAAGUUUUCAUUGCAGGCAUUGGAUGUUUCUGAGACCAAGCCCUGUGAGAAGAGCAUGGGCAAAGAAGAGGGAAAUGUAGAUCCAGGCUUUAUAGGAGGAAGCAGGGACUUCAGGAUCUGAGAGAGGACGUUCCACAUACGCACAUAACUUUUUUUUUGUUCUCCUUCAUUCAUGAACUAUAACACUUCUUGUUUCUCUGUUCUGGAAAUUUUAAAAAAAUAGAACUCAUAUCUGUGUCUUUAAUACAAUCCUGACUUUCCUUUGAAUUCACUCUCAGAAAAAGUAUGAGUUCACUGCACUUAGAUUUUUCUUGAUGAUUGGAUAGCUGCUUCUUUGUAUUUUGGAAACAGAUUUUCUUUUUAUAGGAACAUAGGAAGUUCCUAGAGAAGUUUUCAGCAUGUAUCAGUUACAGAACAUGGCAUAGCUGGGCUUUGCUUAUAUUUAACAAAGCAACUUGUAAUACAAAAUAUUAUAAAUGUGCAUUUAAAUCCAAGGAAAAAACUCCAGGCCCCUCUUGUUCUAUUUGCCCCAUGGUAUAUUUACUUUAUAAAAUGUUCCUGUGCUGUACUCUAGGUGCAUGUCAAUAUCAAAUAAACUUUAAAAAAAUUGAA